RNAcentral lists this ribosomal RNA (1428 nucleotides) under Mammaliicoccus sciuri. Its description in RNAcentral is "Staphylococcus sciuri 16S ribosomal RNA". It matches the Rfam family "Bacterial small subunit ribosomal RNA". The record is from RNAcentral. Lineage: Bacteria; Bacillati; Bacillota; Bacilli; Caryophanales; Staphylococcaceae.
AUACAUGCAGUCGAGCGAACAGAUGAGAAGCUUGCUUCUCUGAUGUUAGCGGCGGACGGGUGAGUAACACGUGGGUAACCUACCUAUAAGACUGGGAUAACUCCGGGAAACCGGGGCUAAUACCGGAUAAUAUUUUGAACCGCAUGGUUCAAUAGUGAAAGACGGUUUCGGCUGUCACUUAUAGAUGGACCCGCGCCGUAUUAGCUAGUUGGUAAGGUAAUGGCUUACCAAGGCGACGAUACGUAGCCGACCUGAGAGGGUGAUCGGCCACACUGGAACUGAGACACGGUCCAGACUCCUACGGGAGGCAGCAGUAGGGAAUCUUCCGCAAUGGGCGAAAGCCUGACGGAGCAACGCCGCGUGAGUGAUGAAGGUCUUCGGAUCGUAAAACUCUGUUGUUAGGGAAGAACAAAUUUGUUAGUAACUGAACAAGUCUUGACGGUACCUAACCAGAAAGCCACGGCUAACUACGUGCCAGCAGCCGCGGUAAUACGUAGGUGGCAAGCGUUAUCCGGAAUUAUUGGGCGUAAAGCGCGCGUAGGCGGUUUCUUAAGUCUGAUGUGAAAGCCCACGGCUCAACCGUGGAGGGUCAUUGGAAACUGGGAAACUUGAGUGCAGAAGAGGAGAGUGGAAUUCCAUGUGUAGCGGUGAAAUGCGCAGAGAUAUGGAGGAACACCAGUGGCGAAGGCGGCUCUCUGGUCUGUAACUGACGCUGAUGUGCGAAAGCGUGGGGAUCAAACAGGAUUAGAUACCCUGGUAGUCCACGCCGUAAACGAUGAGUGCUAAGUGUUAGGGGGUUUCCGCCCCUUAGUGCUGCAGCUAACGCAUUAAGCACUCCGCCUGGGGAGUACGACCGCAAGGUUGAAACUCAAAGGAAUUGACGGGGACCCGCACAAGCGGUGGAGCAUGUGGUUUAAUUCGAAGCAACGCGAAGAACCUUACCAAAUCUUGACAUCCUUUGACCGCUCUAGAGAUAGAGUCUUCCCCUUCGGGGGACAAAGUGACAGGUGGUGCAUGGUUGUCGUCAGCUCGUGUCGUGAGAUGUUGGGUUAAGUCCCGCAACGAGCGCAACCCUUAAGCUUAGUUGCCAUCAUUAAGUUGGGCACUCUAGGUUGACUGCCGGUGACAAACCGGAGGAAGGUGGGGAUGACGUCAAAUCAUCAUGCCCCUUAUGAUUUGGGCUACACACGUGCUACAAUGGAUAAUACAAAGGGCAGCGAAUCCGCGAGGCCAAGCAAAUCCCAUAAAAUUAUUCUCAGUUCGGAUUGUAGUCUGCAACUCGACUACAUGAAGCUGGAAUCGCUAGUAAUCGUAGAUCAGCAUGCUACGGUGAAUACGUUCCCGGGUCUUGUACACACCGCCCGUCACACCACGAGAGUUUGUAACACCCGAAGCCGGUGGAGUAACCUUUUAGGAGCUAGCCUUCGA